Molecule: long non-coding RNA, 8492 nt
Organism: Phyllostomus discolor (pale spear-nosed bat)
Lineage: Eukaryota; Metazoa; Chordata; Mammalia; Chiroptera; Phyllostomidae
Exons: 2
Source: RefSeq, a predicted model, not a curated record
GGGAUCAAACCUAAAAUCUGGGUGUGUGCCUUGACUGGGAAUUGAACCCGUGACCCUUUGGUCUACGGGAUGACACUUCAACCAACUGAGCUACACCACCGAAGGCUGGAAGACACUUUCUAAAUAAGCUUAUGUGUCUCAGACUAUGGAAGAUUCCUUCUCAGGCACCAUUCUGGUAUUUGUGUGUGGUUUGGGGAAGGUGGGCCAAUGGGGAUCUGGAGAGGAUGAGAUUUCUCUCAUAGCCUGGCUGGGGUACUGCAGACUCAACUUGAUUCUGCUUACUGAGUGGCUCUUGUGGCAGAAGAGUAUAUCCCUUGAGUUGCUGUCUGGUGAGGCAUGAUGUAGGGCAGACUAAAAGGAGGGUGUUUCUUACCACUGAAAUUAAAAGUGAAGGGGGAAGGUGAUAGAGAAGCUUGUUUUUUUGAGAGAAUUCAAAGAUCUUGCAAAUGUUGGAGUUAGGUGACAUGGUUCUGUGUAUUCCAUUGGAGAUUUUAGAAUUGGUGAUACAAGUGUGAUUGGGAAAUAAACAUGAACAUAAAAUAACAAGAGGCAUCUUUGAAGGAAAUUAAUGAGGGUAAGUUUUUUUUUAAAUUUUAUUUCCUGUUCUGUGCUAGGCAUUGUAGUAAGUUGUGCAAAUUACUCAGAAAUGACACAGCCUUUGCCACUAGGACCUCAACCGUGAGUUUUAUUUUGUAUUUCCCAGUCAGUGGCUUGUGCAUCCUCCCUGUUUCUAACAGGAAACAUUGUCAAGAUGGCUGUUGAGAGAAAGAUGCAGGGGUUGGCGGUGUUGCCAGGAAACUGGUAAUACUGCCAUUUAUUGAGGUGUUACCAUGGUGUUUUACAUAGCUGACUUUUAAAGUCCAGAUAGUGAUCCUGUCAGAUGGGCAUUUCCCCCCCCUCCAAUGGACAGAUAUAUUUGAGUGUAAUGGUAAAAGCAUGGAGACAGAGUGCCUGGCUUCAGUUCAACCCAAGUGCCAGCUAGCUGUAGGACUCUAAGCAAGUCACUUAUGUCUCUGUGUCUCUACCACGUCAUGUCUAAAAUGGGAGUGAUGGUAAUAGUAUGCAGCACUACCCUCGGAACAGUGCUGUUGCAAGGAAUAGAUGAGUUCUUAGAUGUAAGGCCCUUAGCAUUAGUAUCUAGCACAUUCCAAAGGCUAAAAAUAUUGGUAUUAUUGUACUAUUAGGAAUGAGGAAAUUGAAGCCUGGUAUGGUGAGAUAACUUGCUUUUGGUCACCAGUAGCUGGUAGAGCUGAAAUUCAAAUCCAGCUUCAGAGGGAGGUGGAGAGUCAAGGUUGCACCCCAUCCAUGGCCUCAACCUCUUCUGCUCUUAGCCUCUAGAUAGGGGAGAAGAGCUCUUGGCUUUGGAGGUGGCCUCUUGUAGGGAGAGAGGAGGCCCUUUGUCAUAGGGACCCAGAGUCUCAGGAGCAGUAUCUUCAGUGCAUUCUGAUCAACAUUGGGAAGAAAGACCAUGGCAAGAUGUGAGCCUUUGGGAAAGCCAUGCCCUCUGAUUUUAAUAAGAGAGGGCACUGUCUUCCUUCUGCUUCUAGAUGCCAGCUACUAUGCCCUUGCCUGAGGGGCAAUUCUUUUUUUUUUUAAUUUAUUUUUCAUGUACAGUUGCCAUACAACAUUAUGUUAGUUUCAGGUGUACAACAUAGUGAUUAGACAUUUACAUACCUUAUGAAGUGGUCACCCUGAUAAGUGUAGCACCCAGCGGACCCCAUCCAUAGUUGUUACAGUGUUACCGACUGCACCCACUGUGCUGCACUUUACACGAGGAACAACACUCAAUUGUUAUCUCCUGACAAAGAGGAGUUGCCUGACCAAAUAAGUGCACAAAAUGCGCUUGCCAGUAUGUUUUCCUUUGUCUUUUUUUUGUAAAAAAAAAAAAACAACAAAUUAAAUUUCUUCUAUCUAUAUUUUCCAAAGGAAGGUUAUGAGCUUCUGGAAACAAACCUGAUAGGGCAUGAGAAGGGAGAGGCAGAUGAACAGGAGUCAUGUGGUGACUGUUUUGACUUUUGAACCCUGAAAGAAAUGUUCUGGUAAAUUAGCAUUUCCUUCUGUAAUCAAGACCCACUUAGUGGAUGGAUAUGCUGUUGAUAUUGCAGUGUGCACGUGUGUGCAGACCUCUAGAGAUCAUAAGAACUUCAUGCCUCGUUUUUAUGUACCAUCUUCAUAUGAAGACUGCCACUUGGGUGAUCCCCACCACCCUUAUGGCACCCCUGUGGGUUGUAGGUAUAGGUGUAGUUUGUUGCUGUAAAUUAUAGGUGUGGGUGUAGUUUGUAAGUAUAGUUUUUAGUUAUAGGUUGUAGCUCUAGGUUGUAGGUAUAGAUUAUAGCUAUAGGGUUAUACAUUAUAUAAUAGAUGUAGGUUGCAGGUCUCAGUUACAGUUUUAAGUGUGGGUUUAGUUUGUAGUUGUAGAUAUAGGUUAUAAGUUGUUGAUGUAGGUUGUAGGUGUAGGUGGCAGUUUGUAGGUGUAGCUUAUAAGUUGUUGAUGUGGGGUGUAGGUGUAGGUGGCAGUUUGUAGCUAUAGGUUAUAAGUUGUUGAUGUGAGUUGUAGGUAUAGGUGGCAGUUUUGUACAUAUAGGUUAUAGGGGGGAAAUAGAAACAAUGGGCUUUUCACUUCUCAAGGUCACAUGCCUUUAGGAACAGACAGAUCUGAACCUAGAACCCAGAACUUUUGAUUACAAGAUUCCUGAUCUUUCUGAGCUUAUGUUCCUCCAUGAGAAGGAAAUGCUCAUAGUUUUCUCUUAUAAAUAUACAUAAAUGUAGAUAGAGGAGGGACCUCGUCUCUGGUCUCUCUACCUAGAGACACCAUUGGCUACCUUUUGAUCCAUUUCCUUUAAGUCUCUUUGUACAGCUUUUCAUACUGUUGGAAUUUCCUUAGCUGUGAUUGUACUUUUUAUCCAAUAUUGUAUGCUGCGUCCCCUACCCCCAUUACUAUAUAACACAUCUUCUGUGCUGUUAGAAGUCCAUAAACAUUUUUUAUGACUGUAUGCUAUUCAUGAUGGCUGUAUCAUCAUUUUUUUGCCUUCCUCUAAUGUGGGAUGCUUAGGCUAUUGUAGUAUUUGGCUUUAUAACUAAGUUAACAACUUUGAGGUAAGUUUUCUUGAAUAUAGUAUUUUUAGGUUUUCAGGGGAACUGUGAGGCUGGGGAUGGGCUACACCCAGGAGAGUCUGGAGAAGGCCUGGUAACUUCCUGAUGGGAAAUCUAGCCUGAGGUUACAUAGUCACCUGGCUCAAGUGUGCCCUUGGCAGAGGCUGCUGGCCCAGAGGCCAGUGUGUGGCAGUGUAGUGGCCCAGCCCUGGGAUAGAUGGAGCAAUAGAGGGUUCUCCCUCUUUUAGACAGAAGUAGGAUAUUCAGGAGUAGAGGUAGGGAAGAAAUAUGGGUGCCUCUCAGAGAUUUGGAUCUAUAGAGACAGUAAAGGAGGGCAUAGGGUGGGAAGAAAUAGUCAUACACUUAUAACCUCCCCACAAUUUGUCCCUCUGGCAUUUCUGUUCCGAGUUGUCAAAAAAGCAAUAGACAAUUCUCUCCAACAACCAAAGCCUAAGCUAGGAAAGUCCACCCUUCUUUGUAGGGCUUGGAAAACCCUAGUGGGUGCUUAUCAGAGGGGUCCUUGAAGGUCAGUGGCUGGUGGAGUGACCCCUUCAUAGGGUUGGGUGAAUCUUGCAGGGAGCAUGGAGGAAAGGAGAGUGGGGGGCAGAGCCUGGCACAGAGAGGGGGAGGGGUGCAGUAUGCAACAAAGACUAGUCCCUGUACUCAAGGAGGUUAUUGAUGCUCAGGGGUCCUUCUUCCAGCCCUGGCUAUUCCCAGUCCUAGGAUGUUCUUUCUCCUUUUGUUUGGCUGGUUUCUGCAAAUGAAGCAGUCAAUUCCUGGAGAAGUUAUUUGUCUGAAGUCAUGUAACCAUUGAAUGGGGACGGGAAACUAGAUCAGAGGGAUCCAGGUUCCCCAGUGCCCUUUGUGCUGUGUCAUGUAGCCUCUGACAUGUGUUGGCUUAUCUUCAGUUAGGCUGUCUGCUCCUUUGGGGUCAGGGUUGCAUCUUACCUUGUUUAAUUCCCCCCCCCCCCCAAUAUGACAUGACCUUGUUAAGACAUGAUGGGCACAGUAGCAGCCCUGGGCGAUUCCCCUGGGUGAGGGAGGCAAGAGCCUGUCAUGGUGUGGAUGGUCAGUUUGUGUUUGGUGAAUGCAGGAGUGUUCAUUCAUCAGAAACACAUAUGCAUUCAUUCUAAAAAUAUUUUUAAGCACUUGCUAUGUCUGUCCUGAGUAUAACAGUAGAGCUUCUAUCUCUGCAGAGGAGAAAGCCAUCAACAAAAGUUAUAGAAUUAAUAAUUACAGAUAGUGGAGGAGCCAAGAAGAGAGUGAUUUCAGGUUGCGAAGGGAGCAUAUGCAGAGGGGCAUGGUAGAGUUUGAGGAGCACCUUUCAGGAUCUUCUAGAUGUCCUGGGCUUACAAGUCAGGGUCUCAUACUGCCAUGGGGAGGGUUUCAUUAAGAUAAGUAGAUUUUCUACAUGGACCCUGGUUUUGGCUCUACUAUUGACCUGCUGGGAUACUUCUAAAAUGUUUGCUUCUUUGUGUCUUGUUUGCUUUAGCAGGAGAUUACAUAAAUGAAGAAACUGUAAGAUCCUGCUAUAAAUAAUUUACCCCAUCACCUCACCUCCAUCAGCACCAUGGUGGACAUACACUGAGGAAAUUCUAAUCCUGCCUUAAAAAUGACUGGUAUAUGCAAUAUUUUAGUGUUUGGGUUUUCUCUUUUGAUUGGGGUUUGGUCAUUUGCUAGUUUCUCAUGGUUAAGAUUUGGACAGAGGUAUUUUCCAGACUUAAAUGAGAAAGAAAAGACCUAGGAAGAAAUAGGCCAACCCUAGCUCUUUCCCACCCAGUAAGCAUGCUUUGCAUGGGCACAUCUCUCUUUCCGUUUGUUGGUCAGUGUCUCAUCUGCUUCCAGCCUUUUGUCCUACUCACUUGGUCAGAUGGUCCAGAGAGCCAGUGCCCUGAGGGGGGAAUCUGCCCCUUUUGCACAUGUCAUGGGAAGGCUCAAAGGCAUCUUGUUGGAGUCAAAUGACUUGUUAGCACAUGCCUGCUUGCGGAUCCUUCUGCAGUUGACAUAUUGUGUGACACACGGGAUUUUGCAUGGUGCUGAAAUGCAUGGCAAGCCUCUCCUCUCUCUGAGCACCAAUUCAGUGCAUUUUUCCCCAAUUGCUCCUUCUUGAAGGAGAUUAUUUCCGAUGCAUAUUGACUUGUUACUGACAAAUGCUUCAGAGGGAUAAUGAGCUGGGUAGUUUUCCCAUUCCUUUUUGUGUUCUUGUUGUUGUUGAAUUCGUAUGGGUAACUGGGCUCUCCACUUACACUUUAUUGAUUCCUGAAUUUAGGAGAUGGCUCUGUAAUAAACGAUUUCUUCCACCACAAAGAAGGACUAUACCUGUGGUUGCUGUCUUUGUCAGAAGCUGUAUGAUUCCAGGGCCAAGGUUUUUGCCUGAGACAGGCACUCUGUCCAGCCCUGGACUGACACGUCUGAGUGCCCUUCAGCAAGUCCCUUGCUACCCUUUUCCUGGCUCUGUUUUUCCCUUGCUGUACUACCAGGAGUCAGACCACAUGACAUUGGGUGCUGGACCUCCCAGUUCUCACAUUUUCCAGGCUGGAUGGAAGCCUUUUCCUUUGCUGGCUUGGUGUGUGAAAGUCUGGGGCAUUCUUGCAUUCAUGGAUGACACUGCCGAUCCCACAUGCACUUGCCAUUGUUUUCCCAGGAGGCCUGGCCAUGUUUGCUGAGUCACACACAUGCGCAGCCAGAGUCCCUUGUGACUAAGCAGUGUGCUUUUGAGAGGGUUGGCAGGGCAGUGGUGCAGCCUGUGGCUCAGCCUGAACCCAGCAUUGCCCGAUGGGAAAUAAACCAUUACCUUGCCAGUGUGGGUAAAGGGCCUCGUCCAUGGAGCUACCCCAUCUGGGCUCAUGAAGUGCUCGCCUCUCCAUUCCAGUAUUCUGCCUGUCAGCUUUGCUUAUGCGUAAGAUGGAUUACUCUUGCUUCAGAUAAUCAUGGAAAAUCUUACUGUCAAGUUCUUAGGACAGGAUUAAGUAGAAUAGGUGAUAAAGGUCGUCAGCAUUAUUUCCAGUCUCAACUUUUAUUCACCCCUGUAGCCUGUAGACAAGCUGGAUGCUUACUCAAGUGGCAAAAACCAGGGAUUCAGAGUCGGGCACACUCAGAUUUGAAGUCUGGCCAUGGUGCUUCUUGGCUGCAUCACCUUAAACACUGAACUCCCUGAGCCUCAGUUCUCCUUCUCUAAAAUGGUAGAAAACAACAUUGACCUAAGAGGUUUGCUGGUGGAGACUAAGUGAGUGAACACUGUUUUGCAGCAUCCCAAUACUGGUAGGAUGCUUUUAGGUGGGACACAGAUGAGUUUCUUAUUAUAGUUGUGUAUUUGAAUGCGCUUGUGAAAAAAUAGAACUAGUACAUCAGAACUCGUGAUUUCACAGAUAUUAUUGCCCAGGACAAUGCUAAUUUAAAAUAAAGUGAGAUAAAGUUGAUGUAAAGAAUGAUGUGCAGUGAAUUUUAGUGCAGGGUAUGCAGACGUGGCAGAAAUCAGGAAGGUGGGCGAGUGGGACAGAAUUAUCUCAUAUAGGAUACAUGGUAGGAGGAGAAUUCGUGUGCCUUUGCUUUCUUGUCUGCUCCCCAUGCAGAGAAGGUGUAGGGUGCUAGUGUAAGAAGCUCAAAGAGAAAAGUGGCUGCUGGCUCAACCUUGCGCAUUGCAUCAGCCUGACACGAUGCUAUACACUCCCAGCUGUGAAUUCUGUUAAGUGAUUUUGAACAAAUGGCCUCUUUUCCUGAUCCUUCCAGGGCAAGUGUUAAUCAUUAUAGAAUUAGCCAUGGAGCUAGGAGAGAACUUGGAGACAGUCUAUUCCAUUUUAUACUAUUUAUAUGACUUAAAAAUUAUUUUAUAUAAAGAAUGGACCCAGAGAGAUAGGGACUUACUCCAAGACACACAAAUAGUGGAGUGGCUGGCACAAACUUUCACAUGUUUUUCCCUGAAGAUCUUUCUUCUUUCUGUCCUGCUUGCCAUCACAGGCAGUAGCUUCACUGUGUUCAGUGUGUUCCUAAACAGGACCCAACUGGACUGGGGUAUGUAAGUCCCACACCGCGGGGAUCUCUUCUGCAGUGUUGCCUGGUUUUCUGUGUUUCUCUUGUUGGUGAGAGGAAUGGAGAGCCAACUGUUUAGACUCUGUGGGAAGAAGAGGAAAUGAAUUUUAAAAUCACAAGUUUUAACUGUUCUGUACCCAUAGUGUUGCAUACUAGCAUAUGACCUGCUGCUGACUUCCCAGAGCCUGCGCUUCCUCCUCUGUAAGAUGGUUUGACCUCUGCAUGUUUGAGUCACAUGAAAGGUGGGAAAGGUUGAGUCCCUGGCUCCCUUGGUCAGUGUAAAGACUGAGCUGGGUCCUGGGGCAUGAAGGGAGUUAGGCAGGGUGCUAGAGGUGUCAGGGGGCACUCCUGGUGGAGGAAAAACACAAGGCAGGCUCAGAGAGGAUAGACACAUGGCAUCUGUGGGAAUCUAUAGUGUGGUGUGGGGAACGAGGGGGCAAGCAGGAGCACAGGAGUGGAACUCAGCAUGUAGCAGCAGCCACCUAGCCCCACAAACCCGCAUCAUGUAAAAGAUCUCAGGGGAGAAGAGUUUGUGUGCUGCACCUUUUCUGGGUUAUUUUAUUUUAUUUUUUUUGUGUGUGAUAAACCAUACAAUGUACCAUUUAAACCAUUACAAAAUAUACAAGCCCAGCGUUGUGUGACCAUCACUGUGAACUAGUUCCAGAACGUUUCAUCACCCCAGGUGGAAGCCCCGUACCCAUUUGCAGUCACUCCCAUUUCCCCCUCCCCCUGGAACCCCACAGCUCUGCUUGCUGCUUCUAUGAAUUGGCCUACUUUGGGUAUUUCAUAUAAUGGAAUUACACAAUACAUGGCCAUUAGUAUCUGGCUACAUUCACGUAGCAUAAUGCUUUCAGGGUAUUGUAGCAUGUUAGUACUUCAUUCUUUCACUCAUACUCUACUGUAUGGAUGUACCACAUUUUGGUAUAUUCAUCUGUUGAUAGAUAUUUGGCUACUGUGAAGAGUGCUGCUAUGAACAUUUGUGUACAAGUUUUUGUUUAAACACCUGUUUUUAAUUCUUCUGUGUAUUCUUUUUGGCCUUGGAAUGAGAUUGCAGGUUAUAAUGGCAGUUCUGUAUUUAACAUAUUGAGGGAAUUGCUGGAUUCUUGAGUGUACAUUUCAGCUCCACCAUCUGCUCAGAGCUGUUCCCCAUUAGGUACCAAGCUCUGAGAAAUGAACUGAAUAAUUACCAUGUACAAGGCAUGAUUUUGCAUCCUCUCUAGCAACCCCAGAAUGUUUGUGCUAUUUUUGUCCCGAGUUUCCAGAUGAGGAAACUUGAGGCACAGAAUGGUUAAACAUCAUCCCCAAGGUCAUGCAGCUCAUGAGUAGUGGAUAUGGGAUUUGAACCUGGAUGGAUUUUCUCCAGAGCCUUU